RNAcentral lists this ribosomal RNA (252 nucleotides) under uncultured Bacteroidales bacterium. Its description in RNAcentral is "partial 16S ribosomal RNA". It matches the Rfam family "Bacterial small subunit ribosomal RNA", at positions 524 to 776 of the family's 1533-position model. Lineage: Bacteria; Pseudomonadati; Bacteroidota; Bacteroidia; Bacteroidales. The record is from RNAcentral.
UACGGAGGAUGCGAGCGUUAUCCGGAUUUAUUGGGUUUAAAGGGUGCGUAGGCGGGUUAUCAAGUCAGCGGUAAAAUCGUGGAGCUCAACUCCAUCCAGCCGUUGAAACUGAUGAUCUUGAGUGGGCGAGAAGUAUGCGGAAUGCGUGGUGUAGCGGUGAAAUGCGUAGAUAUUAGGAGGAACACCAGUGGCGAAGGCGGCUUACUGGACUGUAACUGACGUUGAGGCUCGAAAGCGUGGGGAGCAAACAGG